Dreissena polymorpha is the source of this 425-nucleotide long non-coding RNA. RefSeq lists it as uncharacterized. The record is from RefSeq and is a predicted model, not a curated record. Lineage: Eukaryota; Metazoa; Mollusca; Bivalvia; Myida; Dreissenidae. The transcript has 2 exons.
AAUAAUGAUGAGAAAUUGGGUGAAAUAUUUGGGUUUUCUUUAUGUACGAAAUAUUGACAAAAGAUUAAAUAUUUGGAUCUGGUGUGUGUUUAACAACAAAGGGGUUACAAUGCUGUUGACACAAGCCUUAGGCUGUAUUUGCAUUAUUUAUUAUUUGUACCACAACGCUCAUUAACGUGUGCAUACUUGAAUAGUGACUUCUCCAGAUUGUAAUUCAGCCAAUUAGAAACAAACACACAUAGAACACUGACCAAUGGGAUUCAUAACUGAGUUUCACGGGCCAGAUGUUAGAGGGAAACAAGACAGUUAGCGUUUAGACUUGGAGGUGUACGGAUCGAGAAAGAUACGAUCAUGUAGCUAUCAGACUGUAUUUGUAUAACCGAAAAUAUUAAGUAUGUUAGACAUUAAAUUGGACUAGAAACUGA